CCCGGGUCUUGUACACACCGCCCGUCACACCACGAGAGUUUACAACACCCGAAGUCGGUACGCCAACCGCAAGGAGGUAGCCGCCCAAGGUUUGACUCAUGAUUGGGUG
Molecule: ribosomal RNA, 109 nt
Filed under: uncultured bacterium
Lineage: Bacteria
Description: partial 16S ribosomal RNA
Rfam family: Bacterial small subunit ribosomal RNA
Source: RNAcentral